Molecule: ribosomal RNA, 402 nt
Filed under: uncultured bacterium
Lineage: Bacteria
Description: bacterial SSU rRNA
Rfam family: Bacterial small subunit ribosomal RNA
Source: RNAcentral
UCGGGAAUUUUGGGCAAUGGGCGAAAGCCUGACCCAGCAACGCCGCGUGAGGGAUGAAGUAUUUCGGUAUGUAAACCUCGAAAGAAUGGGAAGAAUAAAUGACGGUACCAUUUAUAAGCUCCGGCUAACUACGUGCCAGCAGCCGCGGUAAUACGUAGGGAGCAAGCGUUGUUCGGAUUUACUGGGCGUAAAGGGCGCGUAGGCGGCGCGGUAAGUCACUUGUGAAAUCUCUGAGCUUAACUCAGAACGGCCAAGUGAUACUGCUGUGCUAGAGUGCGGAAGAGGCAACCGGAAUUCUUGGUGUAGCGGUGAAAUGCUUAGAUAUCAAGAGGAACACCUGAGGCGAAGGCGGGUUGCUGGGCCGACACUGACGCUGAUGCGCGAAAGCCAGGGGAGCAAACG